UAAUUAGAUAGAGGCGCACUUUUUAUAAGUAUACUGUGGAGAUGGCAAUCAAUGAAGUAGUAAAAAGGAAACGGUGCCGAAACACUAGUAAGGCAUUACUAGGAGUUGGGUAUAUAGAGAAUAUCUAUGUAACUGUCAUAAUAUUAUGAUGUGCUAUCAGUAUA
Molecule: non-coding RNA, 164 nt
Filed under: Sneathia vaginalis
Lineage: Bacteria; Fusobacteriati; Fusobacteriota; Fusobacteriia; Fusobacteriales; Leptotrichiaceae
Description: Sneathia amnii Lysine sequence
Rfam family: Lysine riboswitch aptamer
About the family: Riboswitches are metabolite binding domains within certain messenger RNAs that serve as precision sensors for their corresponding targets. Allosteric rearrangement of mRNA structure is mediated by ligand binding, and this results in modulation of gene expression.
Source: Rfam by way of RNAcentral